This 294-nucleotide ribosomal RNA is filed under the name uncultured bacterium. Its description in RNAcentral is "partial 16S ribosomal RNA". It matches the Rfam family "Bacterial small subunit ribosomal RNA", at positions 334 to 642 of the family's 1533-position model. The record is from RNAcentral.
UGCCCCUACGGGACGCAGCAGUGGGGAAUAUUGGGCAAUGGGCGCAAGCCUGACCCAGCAACGCCGCGUGAAGGAAGAAGGCUUUCGGGUUGUAAACUUCUUUUAUCAGGGACGAAGCAAGUGACGGUACCUGAUGAAUAAGCCACGGCUAACUACGUGCCAGCAGCCGCGGUAAUACGUAGGUGGCGAGCGUUAUCCGGAUUUACUGGGUGUAAAGGGCGUGUAGGCGGGAAUGCAAGUCAGAUGUGAAAACUAUGGGCUCAACCCAUAGCCUGCAUUUGAAACUGUAUUUCU